RNAcentral lists this ribosomal RNA (258 nucleotides) under uncultured Glomus. Its description in RNAcentral is "partial 18S ribosomal RNA". It matches the Rfam family "Eukaryotic small subunit ribosomal RNA", at positions 624 to 885 of the family's 1831-position model. Lineage: Eukaryota; Fungi; Glomeromycota; Glomeromycetes; Glomerales; Glomeraceae. The record is from RNAcentral.
AAGCUCGUAGUUGAAUUUCGGGGUUAGUAGGUUGGUCAUGCCUCUGGUAUGUACUGGUCUCACUGAUUCCUCCUUCCUUAUGAACCGUAAUGCCAUUAAUUUGGUGUUGCGGGGAAUUUGGACUGUUACUUUGAAAAAAUUAGAGUGUUUAAAGCAAGCUAACGCUUGAAUACAUUAGCAUGGAAUAAUGAAAUAGGACGUUCGAUCUUAUUUUGUUGGUUUCUUAGGAUUGACGUAAUGAUUAAUGGGAUAGUUGGG